UAAUACGUAGGGUGCAAGCGUUAAUCGGAAUUACUGGGCGUAAAGCGUGCGCAGGCGGUUUUGUAAGUCUGUCGUGAAAGCCCCGGGCUCAACCUGGGAAUUGCGAUGGAGACUGCAAGGCUUGAAUCUGGCAGAGGGGGGUAGAAUUCCACGUGUAGCAGUGAAAUGCGUAGAGAUGUGGAGGAACACCGAUGGCGAAGGCAGCCCCCUGGGUCAAGAUUGACGCUCAUGCACGAAAGCGUGGGGAGCAAACAGGAUUAGAUACCCUGGUAGUCCACGCCCUAAACGAUGUCUACUAGUUGUCGGGUUUUAAUUAACUUGGUAACGCAGCUAACGCGUGAAGUAGACCGCCUGGGGAGUACGGUCGCAAGAUU
This 374-nucleotide ribosomal RNA is filed under the name uncultured bacterium. RNAcentral describes it as "bacterial SSU rRNA". It matches the Rfam family "Bacterial small subunit ribosomal RNA", at positions 521 to 895 of the family's 1533-position model. The record is from RNAcentral.